GAUGAACGCUAGCUACAGGCUUAACACAUGCAAGUCGAGGGGCAUCAGUUUGGUUUGCUUGCAAACCAAAGCUGGCGACCGGCGCACGGGUGAGUAACACGUAUCCAACCUGCCUCAUACUCGGGGAUAGCCUUUCGAAAGAAAGAUUAAUAUCCGAUAGCAUAUAUUUCCCGCAUGGGUUUUAUAUUAAAGAAAUUUGGUAUGAGAUGGGGAUGCGUUCCAUUAGUUUGUUGGCGGGGUAACGGCCCACCAAGACUACGAUGGAUAGGGGUUCUGAGAGGAAGGUCCCCCACAUUGGAACUGAGACACGGUCCAAACUCCUACGGGAGGCAGCAGUGAGGAAUAUUGGUCAAUGGACGCGAGUCUGAACCAGCCAAGUAGCGUGAAGGAUGACUGCCCUAUGGGUUGUAAACUUCUUUUAUAUGGGAAUAAAGUGGUCCAACGUGUGGAUUUUUGGUAUGUACCAUAUGAAUAAGGAUCGGCUAACUCCGUG
RNAcentral lists this ribosomal RNA (493 nucleotides) under uncultured bacterium. RNAcentral's name for it is "bacterial SSU rRNA". It matches the Rfam family "Bacterial small subunit ribosomal RNA", at positions 28 to 507 of the family's 1533-position model. The record is from RNAcentral.